RNAcentral lists this ribosomal RNA (119 nucleotides) under Carassius auratus (goldfish). Lineage: Eukaryota; Metazoa; Chordata; Actinopteri; Cypriniformes; Cyprinidae. The record is from RNAcentral.
GCUUACGGCCAUACCAACCUGGCUAUGCCCGAUCUCGUCUGAUCUCGGAAGCUAAGCAGGUUUGGGCCUGGUUGGUACUUGGAUGGGAGACCGCCUUGGAAUAACAGGUGCUGUAAGCU